GGGAAUACUAUUGGCGGCCUGCACUGAUUUAGAUCAAAGGCUCUGUGGUAGUUUCAUGGACACUCUUUGCAAGUGAGUUCUCCUCAUCGUGAGUUACAGAGAGGUGAAGACUGGAGUAGGGGAAGAAGGUUUAAGUUGUCCAGCCAGUAAGUGGUAGGGCUUAAUCUAAACACCAAGGUUUUCAGCAGAAAAUUGUUUUUUUAUCCCCAAAAUGCCAUGGCUGCCAACAAGCUUUUUAGCAAAUCUGAGAAGCAGAGCACUAGAUGGAGAAUCAGAAGAGCUCCCUUGUCUCUUCCGGUCUGGUAAGUAAGUACUAGUUGUGUGACCAUGGUCAAGUCACUAACUUUUCUGAAUCUUAUAAAAUCAGGGACAAGGAAUCAAUGAGUGACAAAAUUACCUUCCAGCCAUAAAACAUCUCACCCAUAAAACGGUAUUGAUUAAUAAUGUGUGCUUGGCCUAUCUCCCAAAAUCGUGAGGCUAAAAUAAGCUGAUGCAUGUGGAAGUGCCUUGCAUUUUGUGAAGUAUCAAAUCAAUGUUGUCUCAAAGCACGGCUAUGGAGGAAUGAGGAAAGGGCCCCAGUGUGUGUCCACACACACAGCCAGCCAGUCCUCUUCCAUUCAGGUUUUGGGAGAAGCUGUAAUAAAGCACUGGCACCAGCUCAAAUCCUGCUCCAUCCUCACCCCUUCCUGCAUGCUGCAGAGUGUCACUGGAGCAAAGUUAUUUGAGUGGGUGAGCCAAACACUCCAAUUUCAACUCUGCUGAGUAGAAGCCACAGAGAAUUCUGCGUCACAGUGCAGGUGACAAUCACUGUUCCUCCAGGUGUGUCUGAAACACUGAGGAGACCCUGGGGAGGGCUGAACAGGAAGGUGGGGAGGAAGGUCAGACAUCACUGCUCCCGAGGCCCAGUUUUCCCUGGCACACAUCUCUAGCCCACAUGAUUUCACCUGGCAGCCCCAGGAGACAGACAGACCCAGAAAGAGCAGGAGCCUCCUCUCCUGAUAACCUAAGUGCUCUGAUUGAAAGGCAGAGGGUAUCAGCAGAAGGGCUGUACCAAGUCAGCAUUGAUUUCUCCAGCCUUUGUCUGCGUCUGGUUUCUGUCUCGUUUGGAGGUGGUUACUGUUACUACAAGCAGCAUGAAUCAUGUCUCUGUUAAAAAACAGAGCUUCAAUUGUCUUACAUAACCCCUAGUAACUGAACGUCUAAUAAUAGCAAGCCAUUUACAGGUAGGGAGUCUGUCUUCCUCCCAGACACACACACACACACACACACACACACACACACACACACACACUCUACUCCCAAUGCCUCACUGUAAAGUGAAACGGGCAGGGAGGAGGCAGAGGGAGAAAGCGGACAGCACAAUUGAUUUUGAGGAGGGAGGAUUUUAAAACAUAUUGAAUAAUCUUGCGUCACAGGGCCUGAUGACCAACAUGUUUAACUAAACUAGUUUCAUAGACUGUAGGAGAUAAGCAUUUUUUUUCAAAGUAUUCGAAACAGCAAGAAACUCCAAACACACCAGACAGACACCAAUUCUAGCAUUCCACCGCAGUAUAAGUCCCCAAAGACAGAGAGAGUGAAGAUGGUAGGAAGGGGGUAGAAGUUUCACUGGAUUGGCUACUAGCUGGCACCUGAAAGGUUUAAUUUUCCAAGGACUUUUUCUCCUCUCCUUUUUGUGUGGCCAGAGAGAGAGAGAGAGAGAUUUCAAAGGUUCUUGGCUAUAGUCAUUGCGUAAAAUUCCCAAGAGUGAAAAACAACUGAAAACAUGGCUGUAGCAUCCCAUUCUGCUAACUAUAGCAUGUUGGGCACUAUUACCUGAGCCACUUUCUUUGAGAGGGGGAACCUUGCAUCUGAAGACUUGUGUUUUUCCUGUUAGCAUCAUCUCUCCCCUAAAAGACACGAUUGGGUCUUUUCAUAUAUGAUUUCCCCACUCAGCUACCUGUUAAGGUGCUUACCAAAAAGCAAUAUAAUAAGCGGGUUGAAAAAAAUGACUCAAAAAACUAUGAAGCAAGUUAAAAAGUAUAUCUUAAAUAUGACACAAAUGAACUUAUCUAUGAAACAGAAAGACUCGCAGACAUAGAGAACAGACUUGUGGUUGCUGAGGGGGAGGGGGUGGGAAGGAUUGGGAGUUUGGGAUUAACAGAUACAAACUAUUGUACACAGAAUGGAUAAACAACAAGGUCCUAUAUAUAGGAUAGGGAACUAUAUUCAAUAUUCUCGAUAAGCCAUAAUGGAAAAGAAAAGACAUGUAUAAUCGAGUCACUUUGCUGUAUGGUAGAAAUUAACAUAACAUUGUAAAUCAACUAUACCUCAGCAAAAGUUUUAAAAAGUGUAUGAGGAAAAAAUAAUUUAAAUUUUUAACAUGCAUGUCUCCCUUUCCUCAUUGCCUCAUCAUGGCCAUCCUAAGAAAAAUCACCAUAGGCUAUGUUUUUGCCAUAUGCAAAAUAGUAGCUCUAGAUGAUAUCAUAUGAAUUGGACCGGGGAGGACUUGAUGGAAAAUUACAGAAAGAGGCUAUAUCUUGCCACUCAUCUGGGCUAGGACCACAGAAGGAAAACUUCCUUUCCAUUUUGAUUGUUUAAUAACAUGAAACAGAGGACUAGGCUGGUUCAAACCAAAGAAAACCUUAGGACACACCCACUUGGAGAGCCAACACGCUCUUCGUGCUCUGCUCACUCUUCAUUUAUUUAGGAAUACAAAAAGGCAUAUGGAUAUACUUCAAUGUCAAAAUGGUUGCUUGUGCUCUCAAAUUAGUUUUUAUUCUGCCUAUUUCUUUUUGGAAUACUCCCCACAUCUAUAAGCAAAGAGUUUUGAAUAGAAGGAGGAAAGGAGAGAAAGAAAAAGAAUAAAAAAAGAAAAGAGAGAGGAAGAGGAAGGAAAAUGACUAAUGUCCUAUUACUUCCGCCUGCAAACCUGACAGAAGUCGAUAGUAAAACCUCUAUGACUUCUAUCUAGUAGUCUUUGCUCUGUGCCAUUUGGAUAUAUGGUCUCUGAAGGAAAUGAGUCCUAGAUUUUUUUCUCACAAAUGCCCAAAUGCAGAACAGUAGGGAUCUUGACCACUACAUCACCCAGGACAAGAGGACCACAGCAGUGGAAUAGUUAGUACACUUGUGGGCUAAAUGUUUUAAUAAAAACAACCAUGAGGGAGUUCCCGUCCUGACUCAGUGGUUAACAAAUCUGACUCGCAUCCAUGAGGUCGUAGGUUUGAUCCUUGGCCUCCCUCAGAGGAUUAAGGAUCCGGUGUUGCCAUGAGCUGUGGUGUAGGUUGCAGAUGAGGCUUGGAUCCCACGUUGCUGUGGCUGUGGUGUAGGCCAGCAGCUGCAGCUCCAAUUCCACCCCUAGCCUGGGAACCUCCAAAAACAGCCUUGAGAUGCCAUGAAAGGCUUUUCCCUCUAACUACUGUGAAUAUAUUGUGGAAUGAUUCCUACUUCUGGAAGAGUAGGUGGUUUCCCCCUUCUUCUCUUGGCCUCGAAAACCUGGCUCUUCUAUGCACCUGCGAGGCAAUUAUACCCACCCAAAAUUUCAGGGCACUAUGUCAACCAGUUCCUUCCCAAUGGUGUGUUUGGCACCUGAACAAGGACUUGGUGGACCAGACACAUUUAAAAUGUGAGAGUGGGUUAUUAUAUUAUUUUGCACUGCAACAGUAAGAAUAUUUUGGGAUUGUUGCUGACAAGUAGAUCAUAAUAAUCAUAUGUGAUGCAACAAAUCACAUGACAUUGUAUCAGAAGCUCAGAGUUAAUAUUUUCAAAUGACCUAGAGAUUUUCUUUUUUUUCUGAAAAAGAGAAAUGGUGGAUGCUCCCCCCCCCACGCCCCCACCUUCAAUAAGCAUUUAUUGAAUGCCUAUUGUCAGUGAUGGAUUCUUUAUUCACAGAAGGGAGCUGGGCUAUGCCAGACUCUCACCAUGUUCUUUCUCCUCUAACACUGAAUAAAAUAUCAGUGAAAUACUAGUACAGCUUUUUUUGAAUCUGAUAGGCAAUCUGGAUGUAGUAACUGACCAUGAUGACGACAGCAGGAACUGGUGAUACUGGCAGCAGUGGGAAGGACUUCCUUACAAAGUCACUGCAGUUUAAGAACAUCUCUC
This 4077-nucleotide long non-coding RNA is filed under the name Sus scrofa (pig). Its description in RNAcentral is "lncRNA (ENSSSCG00000060865.1)". Lineage: Eukaryota; Metazoa; Chordata; Mammalia; Artiodactyla; Suidae. The record is from RNAcentral.